CAAAAAAAAAAAAAAAAAAACUAAAUUAAUUAAAUUAAUUAAAUUAUAUAUAUAAUAAUUAAAAAAAAACAAAAAUAUAAAAAGAAAAGGGGGAGGCGCUCGGCAGCCCCCCCCCCAAAUCAGAAAAUCUCUCUCUCUCUCUUUUAUUUUCUCUUGAUUUCCUCUCGGAUUUUCUUCGAUUCCAAGCGAUCCGGCCGUUCGAUCGUUGAUCCGACUUCGCUUUCACCGUUAAAGUGCCCCCGAUCUACAAGGAGGCUCAGAUUCUCAGGAUUUUGUUCGAUCUUCUCCCCAGACUCGGACUUGAGUCAUCAUUUCCCAGGCGAGUAGACAGGAUAUGUUAUGAUUAUCUUAUAUUAUGCACGUAUAUACUGUUUUAUUCAUAAAUAUUAUAACCUUGUAUAAAUUUUUAUAUGCAUAACUCGUACAUGAUUUUUAUAUGCGGAUCAUAGAAAAAUACUCUUAAAUGUUUCUAAUUUGCAUGAAAUAUUUUCAUCCUACUGGGAGAGACAUAAACUGAAAGAUACCCUAAUUGAUUUCUUGUUUUGAGAAUGUGAAUUAUUGAAUGAUAUGGUGUAUUUUAGGCACCACAUGAAAUGAUAAAUGAUUAUGACUUGUGCAUAAAUUAGGGUAUUAUUUGCAUUAUUAUUAGAGGACUAUCUAGUAGAUUCCCUGGUGACUCACAGCAGGAAAAGAUCAUGGUACUGUGAGGCUUGGCAUGCCAAGGCCAUGAGAGACACGGAUAGUAUGUUUCAGCACUGCUAUCACGUGGGCCUUUAUGAUGAUAUUGUGUGAUGAUGAUGUAUGUGCCGAUAUAUAUACUUGUGUGCAUGUGUAUAUAGGCGUUAGGCCAGUUUCUACUAGUGUGUCCUCAGAAUCAGUGCAUGCAUCUCAUACAAAAGUAUAGG
This is a long non-coding RNA of Diospyros lotus (date-plum), 905 nucleotides long. RefSeq lists it as uncharacterized. The transcript is spliced from 2 exons. The record is from RefSeq and is a predicted model, not a curated record. Lineage: Eukaryota; Viridiplantae; Streptophyta; Magnoliopsida; Ericales; Ebenaceae.